GACAGACUUCGAACCGUGCUUCAAGAUGGCUGGUGACAUGCACGUUGCUAUGUUUUCGAUUGCGGUUUAACAGAGGAAAUCGCCAGACUUCCGUCCUCCACUGGGGGGCGGGGCACGUCAGAUUCGAACUGACUAAAACCUCCAGUCGCUCAACAAUCAACGUCCAAACCUCGCAUGAGACAGAACUCAUGAAAAGGCAAAGGGGGGAAAGUGAAGCGCUUAGUGCGGAGCACAUCUCUUCCAUCACCCUCCCCCUCGGGACGCCGGACCGGCGGUCGUCGGCGCCACGACCACCAGCCCUCUCGGUCGGCAGGCUAUCCGAAGCCAGCCUAGAUGGCGCCGGUUAGAGUGAGCUAUCCUACGGAAUACCCCGCUGUCUCAACCCUUAUUAUAAUAAAAACUAGUUUUUA
This is a long non-coding RNA of Bombyx mori (domestic silkworm), 410 nucleotides long. RefSeq lists it as uncharacterized. The record is from RefSeq and is a predicted model, not a curated record. The transcript has 2 exons. NCBI's taxonomy places the organism in Eukaryota, Metazoa, Arthropoda, Insecta, Lepidoptera, Bombycidae.